RNAcentral lists this ribosomal RNA (496 nucleotides) under uncultured bacterium. RNAcentral's name for it is "partial 16S ribosomal RNA". It matches the Rfam family "Bacterial small subunit ribosomal RNA", at positions 28 to 507 of the family's 1533-position model. The record is from RNAcentral.
GAUGAACGCUGGCGGCGUGCCUAAUACAUGCAAGUCGAGCGAACAGAUGAGGAGCUUGCUCCUCUGACGUUAGCGGCGGACGGGUGAGUAACACGUGGAUAACCUACCUAUAAGACUGGGAUAACUUCGGGAAACCGGAGCUAAUACCGGAUAAUAUAUUGAACCGCAUGGUUCAAUAGUGAAAGACGGUUUUGCUGUCACUUAUAGAUGGAUCCGCGCCGCAUUGCUAGUUGGUAAGGUAACGGCUUACCAAGGCAACGAUGCGUAGCCGACCUGAGAGGGUGAUCGGCCACACUGGAACUGAGACACGGUCCAGACUCCUACGGGAGGCAGCAGUAGGGAAUCUUCCGCAAUGGGCGAAAGCCUGACGGAGCAACGCCGCGUGAGUGAUGAAGGUCUUCGGAUCGUAAAACUCUGUUAUUAGGGAAGAACAAAUGUGUAAGUAACUAUGCACGUCUUGACGGUACCUAAUCAGAAAGCCACGGCUAACUACGUG